This 471-nucleotide ribosomal RNA is filed under the name uncultured bacterium. RNAcentral describes it as "bacterial SSU rRNA". It matches the Rfam family "Bacterial small subunit ribosomal RNA", at positions 335 to 803 of the family's 1533-position model. The record is from RNAcentral.
ACUCCUACGGGAGGCAGCAGUGGGGAAUAUUGCACAAUGGGCGCAAGCCUGAUGCAGCCAUGCCGCGUGUGUGAAGAAGGCCUUCGGGUUGUAAAGCACUUUCAGUCGUGAGGAAGGUGGUAGUGUUAAUAGCACUAUCAUUUGUACGUUAGCGACAGAAGAAGCACCGGCUAACUCCGUGCCAGCAGCCGCGGUAAUACGGAGGGUGCGAGCGUUAAUCGGAAUUACUGGGCGUAAAGCGCAUGCAGGUGGUUGUUAAGUCAGAUGUGAAAGCCCGGGGCUCAACCUCGGAAUAGCAUUUGAAACUGGCAGACUAGAGUACUGUAGAGGGGGUAGAAUUUCAGGUGUAGCGGUGAAAUGCGUAGAGAUCUGAAGGAAUACCGGUGGCGAAGGCGGCCCCUGGACAGAUACUGACACUCAGAUGCGAAAGCGUGGGAGCAAACAGGAUUAGAUACCCCUGGUAGCGACUGA